This 351-nucleotide unclassified non-coding RNA is filed under the name soil metagenome. RNAcentral's name for it is "partial contains 5.8S ribosomal RNA, internal transcribed spacer 2, and large subunit ribosomal RNA". The stretch from base 1 to 119 matches the Rfam family "5.8S ribosomal RNA", at positions 35 to 154 of the family's 154-position model. The record is from RNAcentral.
GAUGAAGAACGUAGCGAAAUGCGAUAAGUAAUGCGAAUUGCAGAAUCCGUGAAUCAUCGAAUCUUUGAACGCACAUUGCGCCCGCCAGUAUUCUGGCGGGCAUGCCUGUUCGAGCGUCAUUACAACCCUCAGGCCCCCGGGCCUGGCGUUGGGGAUCGGCGGAGCCCCCCGUGGGCACACGCCGUCCCCCAAAUACAGUGGCGGUCCCGCCGCAGCUUCCAUCGCGUAGUAGCUAACACCUCGCGACUGGAGAGCGGCGCGGCCACGCCGUAAAACACCCAACUCUUCUGAAGUUGACCUCGAAUCAGGUAGGGAUACCCGCUGAACUUAAGCAUAUCAAUAAGCGGAGGA